This 71-nucleotide transfer RNA is filed under the name Hungatella sp. RNAcentral's name for it is "tRNA-Gln". It matches the Rfam family "tRNA". Rfam says of the family: Transfer RNA (tRNA) molecules are approximately 80 nucleotides in length. Their secondary structure includes four short double-helical elements and three loops (D, anti-codon, and T loops). RNAcentral also lists the same sequence under 1 other name. The record is from RNAcentral. Lineage: Bacteria; Bacillati; Bacillota; Clostridia; Lachnospirales; Lachnospiraceae.
UGCGGAUUGGCGUAGAGGAAGCGCGGCCGGCUCUGACCCGGCAGGCAGAGGUUCGAUUCCUUUAUCCGCAG